This 263-nucleotide unclassified non-coding RNA is filed under the name Hevea brasiliensis (rubber tree). The record is from RNAcentral. Lineage: Eukaryota; Viridiplantae; Streptophyta; Magnoliopsida; Malpighiales; Euphorbiaceae.
AUGGAACAUACCAAAUUAUAUUAGUCAGAGGUGGUUCCUCCAUUAGCUUUGUAUUUGGGGAAGGGCACCAUACCAUUGUCAAUAAAGAAAAGAUCACUCACAAGGAUUUCAUCUCAGGGGGUGACUGGAAAGAAGGGUGGGAUAUGUAGCGAAGUCCUGGACGAUCUCAAACCUGGUGUUGAAAGGACAGAUAUCAUGAAUACUGCACCUCCAGAUUUGUUCAAGUCAAUAGAAACUAAAGACAUUACAUCUUUGAGGGAAAA